RNAcentral lists this ribosomal RNA (255 nucleotides) under uncultured bacterium. RNAcentral describes it as "partial 16S ribosomal RNA". It matches the Rfam family "Bacterial small subunit ribosomal RNA", at positions 524 to 776 of the family's 1533-position model. The record is from RNAcentral.
UACAGAGGGGGGCAAGCGUUUAUUCGGAAUUAUUGGGCGUAAAGGGCGCGUAGGCGGCUUGGCAAGUGGAUGGUGAAAUCCCUCGGCUUAACCGAGGAACUGCCGUCCAAACUGCUUCGCUUGAGACCGGGAGAGGUGAGUGGAAUUCCCAGUGUAGCGGUGAAAUGCGUAGAUAUUGGGAGGAACACCAGUGGCGAAGGCGGCUCACUGGACCGGUACUGACGCUGAUGCGCGAAAGCGUGGGGAGCAAACGGG